UGCCAGUAGUCAUAUGCUUGUCUUAAAGAUUAAGCCAUGCAUGUCUCAGUGCAAGCUAAAUUAAAGUGAAACCGCGGAAGGCUCAUUAUAUCAGCUAUGGUUCCUUAGAUGGUACCAAAGUAUACUUGGAUAACUGUGGCAAUUCUAGAGCUAAUACAUGCAAAUAGAGUCCCUGCCUCCCAAGGCAGGGAUGCUUUUAUUAGAUCAAAACCAACCGGCCUUCGGGCUAGUUGCUCUUGGUGACUCUGACUAACUUUGGGCUGAUCGCACGGUCACGUACCGGCGACGCAUCUUUCAAAUGUCUGCCUUAUCAACUAUCGAUGGUAGGCUCUACGCCUACCAUGGUUGUAACGGGUGACGGGGAAUCAGGGUUCGAUUCCGGAGAGGGAGCCUGAGAGACAGCUACCACAUCCAAGGAAGGCAGCAGGCGCGCAAAUUACCCACUCCCGGCACGGGGAGGUAGUGACGAUAAAUAACGAUGCAGAACUCUUUCCGAGGCUCUGCAAUCGGAAUGAGCACACUCUAAAUCAUUUAACGAGUAUCCAUCGGAGGGCAAGCCUGGUGCCAGCAGCUGCGGUAAUUCCAGCUCCGAUAGCGUAUAUUAAAGUUGUUGCGGUUAAAAAGCUCGUAGUUGGAUCUGUGUUUCACUCUGUCGGUUCGUUGCCCGUCAACGUUUAACUGGCAUGCAAGUGGAACGUCCUGCCGGUUGGCAACGCGCGUCCGCAAGGGCGUGCGUGCGCCAGUUGGAUCCUGUCUAGGUCCUCUUCACCGAGAGUCGAGGCAGGCCGGCACGUUUACUUUGAACAAAUUUGAGUGCUUAAAGCAGGCUGUUACGCCUGAGAACUGGUUGCAUGGAAUAAUGGAAUAGGACCUCGGUUCUACUUUGUUGGUUUUCGGAGCCCGAGGUAAUGAUUAAUAGGGACAGGCGGGGGCAUUAGUAUUGCGACGUUAGAGGUGAAAUUCUAAGAUCGUCGCAGGACUAACCUAAGCGAAAGCAUUUGCCAAGGAUGCUUCCUUUAAUCAAGAACGAAAGUUAGAUGAUCGAAGGCGAUCAGAUACCGCCCUAGUUCUAACCAUAAACGAUGCCAGCCAGCAAUCCGUCGCUGUUCCUCCGAUGACUCGACGGGCAGCUUCCGGGAAACUUAAGCUUUUAGGUUCCGGGGGAAGUAUGGUUGCAAAGCUGAAACUUAAAGGAAUUGACGGAAGGGCACCACCAGGAGUGGAGCCUGCGGCUUAAUUCGACUCAACACGGG
RNAcentral lists this ribosomal RNA (1253 nucleotides) under Arthropoda environmental sample. RNAcentral's name for it is "SSU rRNA". It matches the Rfam family "Eukaryotic small subunit ribosomal RNA", at positions 15 to 1209 of the family's 1831-position model. Lineage: Eukaryota; Metazoa; Arthropoda. The record is from RNAcentral.